GACAAACGCUGGCGGCGUGCCUAAGACAUGCAAGUCGGACGGGCCCUUCGGGGUCAGUGGCGGACGGGUGAGGAACGCGUGGAGAACCUGCCCCGGUGUGGGGGAUACCCGCCAGAAAUGGCGGUUAAGACCGCAUACGAGCAUCUGGCGAAGGCUGGAUGGGGAAAAGCCUUCGGGCUGCACUGGGAGGGGUCCGCGUCGGAUUAGCUAGUUGGUGGGGUAACGGCCUACCAAGGCUGCGAUCCGUAGCUGGUCUGAGAGGACGGCCAGCCACACU
This 277-nucleotide ribosomal RNA is filed under the name uncultured bacterium. RNAcentral describes it as "partial 16S ribosomal RNA". It matches the Rfam family "Bacterial small subunit ribosomal RNA", at positions 28 to 314 of the family's 1533-position model. The record is from RNAcentral.